ACCGUCCUGCUCCUCACUCCCUGCAUCAGGCUCCUUCCCACCCUCACCGUCCUGCUCCUCACUCCCUGCAUCAGGCUGCUUCCCACCCUCACGCCUGCUCCUCACUCCCUGCAUCAGGCUCCUUCCCACUCUCACUGUCCUGCUCCUCACUCCCUACAUCAGGCCGCUUCCCACCCUCACUGACUGCUCCUCACUCCCUGCAUCAGG
This 207-nucleotide long non-coding RNA is filed under the name Pan troglodytes (chimpanzee). RNAcentral's name for it is "long non-coding RNA NONPTRT007010". Lineage: Eukaryota; Metazoa; Chordata; Mammalia; Primates; Hominidae. The record is from RNAcentral.